RNAcentral lists this ribosomal RNA (506 nucleotides) under uncultured bacterium. RNAcentral's name for it is "partial 16S ribosomal RNA". It matches the Rfam family "Bacterial small subunit ribosomal RNA", at positions 29 to 523 of the family's 1533-position model. The record is from RNAcentral.
AGUGAACGCUGGCGGUAGGCCUAACACAUGCAAGUCGAACGGCAGCACAGAGGAGCUUGCUCCUUGGGUGGCGAGUGGCGGACGGGUGAGGAAUACAUCGGAAUCUACUCUGUCGUGGGGGAUAACGUAGGGAAACUUACGCUAAUACCGCAUACGACCUACGGGUGAAAGCAGGGGACCUUCGGGCCUUGCGCGAUUGAAUGAGCCGAUGUCGGAUUAGCUAGUUGGCGGGGUAAAGGCCCACCAAGGCGACGAUCCGUAGCUGGUCUGAGAGGAUGAUCAGCCACACUGGAACUGAGACACGGUCCAGACUCCUACGGGAGGCAGCAGUGGGGAAUAGUGGACAAUGGGCGCAAGCCUGAUCCAGCCAUACCGCGUGGGUGAAGAAGGCCUUCGGGUUGUAAAGCCCUUUUGUUGGGAAAGAAAUCCAGCUGGCUAAUACCCGGGGCUAAUGACGGUACCGUAAGAAUAAGCACCGGCUAACUACGUGCCAGCAGCCGCAGUAA